This 73-nucleotide transfer RNA is filed under the name Camelus bactrianus (Bactrian camel). It matches the Rfam family "tRNA". Rfam says of the family: Transfer RNA (tRNA) molecules are approximately 80 nucleotides in length. Their secondary structure includes four short double-helical elements and three loops (D, anti-codon, and T loops). RNAcentral also lists the same sequence under 2 other names. Lineage: Eukaryota; Metazoa; Chordata; Mammalia; Artiodactyla; Camelidae. The record is from Rfam by way of RNAcentral.
GAGGGUAUAGCUCAGUGUCUGGAGUGAGUGCUUAGCACGCAUGAGGUCAUGGGUUCAAUCCCCUGUACCUCCA